Molecule: ribosomal RNA, 468 nt
Filed under: uncultured bacterium
Lineage: Bacteria
Description: partial 16S ribosomal RNA
Rfam family: Bacterial small subunit ribosomal RNA
Source: RNAcentral
GACGAACGCUGGCGGCGUGCUUAACACAUGCAAGUCGAACGGAAAGGCCCUGCUUUUGUGGGGUGCUCGAGUGGCGAACGGGUGAGUAACACGUGAGUAACCUGCCCUUGACUUUGGGGUAACUUCAGGAAACUGGGGCUAAUACCGGAUAGGAGCUCCUGCUGCAUGGUGGGGGUUGGUAAGUUUCGGCGGUUGGGGAUGGACUCGCGGCUUAUCAGCUUGUUGGUGGGGUAGUGGCUUACCAAGGCUUUGACGGGUAGCCGGCCUGAGAGGGUGACCGGCCACAUUGGGCCUGAGAUAGGGCCCAGACUCCUACGGGAGGCAGCAGGGGGGAAUAUUGCAGAGUGGGCGGAAGCCUGAGGCAGCAACGCCGCGUGCGGGAUGCCGGCCUUCGGGUUGUAAACCGCUUUCGACUGUAACGAAGCGUGAGUGACGGUAAUGGGUAAAGAAGCACCGGCUAACUACGUG